AGGCAGGGACUGAAUAAGGUUGAGGAAGUGGGCCUUGGAGAGAAGCCUCCUGGGGUGGAGGGAGGUGGGCUGGCAAAGACUUGUGGCCCCUCAUGAUGGAUCAGGAGGGUAGUCAUAGGACAGAGGGAGCUGGCAACCACUUGGUUGCAACCAGGUUGGGAAGUGAGACUGGAAGACUUUUGACUGGAGUGGUUUCCCAGGAUUGGAGGUCUGGACUCUCAUAUGCUUCUGGGGUAACACAGAGCCAGAAGGAGUCUGGAUUUUUCCUUGAAUGACCUGAAGUCAGCACCGCUCCAGUCCUAAACUAAGGACUGAGUUCCAACUGACUGAAAACCAAAUUAAAAGAGGAGCCUUGCUCCCUUCCUUGUGCUCAGCGUUGAGACCCUGCCACCGCCUCAGCGGUCGUCCCUGCCCUGUCCGCCCCGGGCUGCACCCUGCAAGGCUCCUGCUGUUGUCCCCGGAGCAUGGGAGGCUGCUGGGCAUGAGUGGCUUGGUCCUGCGGAAGCUGCGUGGCAGGGAGGGGGUCCAUGGCUGCAACCAACAAAGGCAGCAAGCCCAGAUUCCGGAGUAUCCACUUUGUGACAGGCCACGAUGCAGAGGGCUCCCAAAGCCACGUCCACUUUGAUGAGAAGUUGCAGGACUCGGUGGUCAUGGUCAUCCAGGAGAGGGACAGCAGCUUUCUGGUCAAGGUUCCUGAAGAUCCUGCACAGGUAUGAGAUUACCUUUGCUCCGUCCCAGUGCACAGGCUGAGCAAGGACGUCCGCCAGGCACUUGUCCCCAGCCUGCACCUGAAGCUUCUCAGCGUCCUACCCUUCCCUGAAGGUUAUAGUGUCAAGUGCGAGUACUAGGCGCACAAAGAAGGGGUCCUCAAAGAGGGGAUGCUACUAGUCUGGGAAGGUGGCACCAGCACCUGCGUGCGCGGAAGGUGCAAGCCUGCAUCAUGGGCUGACGCCAUGGCACAUGCAUGCUGCUGGACGGUGUCAAAUGCAUGGGUGCCAAGCUGGAAUACUACUCGGAGCACAGCGACUGGCACGGCUUUGACUGAGGCCCGAGGUCCUGCCUGCCCUGGGCUGCCCUGCCUGCCCUGGGCUGCUCAGCCUUAAACCCUGCCUUGUUCCCCCAUACCCGACAUGCUGCCUGAUGGUGUGGCUUCCUUGCCCCUCUCCAGGGUGGGUGGGAUGGAGUGGCCUUGCCCACGCCUGUCACCUCUGCCUUCAUUCAAGCCACCACCCUGCCUCUCCUGCAUCCUCCUCUUCCACUUCCUCCUCUCCGUGUGCCUCAGUCUCCUGCCAGAAGAAAUGGCUUGAGCCCUCAAGGAGGCUGUCUGAGGAAGGAAGGGGAGGGCCUGGGGUGGGUACUCCCACUCCCCACCCCAAGCCAUAGGGGCUCCAGCCAGGGUCUGGGAGAGGACGGAGCUGGUUCUCUGAGGUCGUGGCCCCGUUACCUCUGCUGCUGCCUUGCUUCAGCCGCCUCUCCUGCCCCUCCCUCGUUCGCACUGCUGUCCUCCAUGAGUAGCAGGGAGGUGCAGUCCCCAGCUCCUACCCCUCAGGUCUGUGUUACUUGAUUUUUAAGCGAGUGGUUGGGAUAGAAUCCUAAAGAAAUAAAACUUCCAGUGUGGGGGCGGGGUGGGGGGGAGACGACCCUUGUCCCCAGUGUUACUCCCAAACAUUUGUGUGAUAUGCCGGCAAGGAUCAGGGAGAUAACCGAUUUCAGUUAUCUGCACUCACAUACAGGCCCUUUGAGGCUUGUGAGAUGAGAAAGUUUGAUAUUGUUAAUCUUUUCAGUCUCUCUCACCUCUUACACACAUAUACAGAGCUGGCUUCCUGGACCACUUCUGGAAAGAG
RNAcentral lists this long non-coding RNA (1844 nucleotides) under Homo sapiens (human). RNAcentral's name for it is "HSALNT0188624". The record is from RNAcentral. Lineage: Eukaryota; Metazoa; Chordata; Mammalia; Primates; Hominidae.